Molecule: long non-coding RNA, 579 nt
Organism: Mustela lutreola (European mink)
Lineage: Eukaryota; Metazoa; Chordata; Mammalia; Carnivora; Mustelidae
Exons: 5
Source: RefSeq, a predicted model, not a curated record
CCGAGGCCGGCCGGCGCUCACCUUUGUUCGCCGGCGCUCGCGGCGGGGAGAGAGCCGGCCCAGGAGGAGUGCGGACGGCGACCCCAACGCUCCGCGGCCCCUCCCAGGCGCCCCGGAGGAAAUCCGUAGGCUAGCCAGAUCCUCCCAGGCUCCCCGAACGGCAGCCGGGCUGAGGGGUCGGCAGCCCCCUCCCGAACACAAAGGACUACUGCUGUCCAGUAGGUUCUGCUGUGCCUCUAAGCAUAUGCAACAGGAAGUGCGGAAUUUCAUCCUGACUGCCAAACCUAUAGACCCGUGAAGACUUCAGACCCACCACCAAGGCAAGGCAAGCAACCUUUCAUAGACUACUUCAUCAGCACCCACAAUUGUGAGAAAAGGUUUUGGAAGACCAUAAUUCCUCCAUGUCAAAUUUGAAAAUUUUGUUUCCAAAUUGACUCCUUGCUAGCUUGAGUAGCCAAAAUCUGAGUCACAUGAAGAAGAAAUGAAUAACACCGCGUGCAGUUCCGUGGCACUAAGGACUGAGGUGCAGCCGUCACCACCAUCCAUGUCCACAGCCCUUUCAUCUUGCAAAACUGAAAG